Molecule: ribosomal RNA, 204 nt
Filed under: uncultured bacterium
Lineage: Bacteria
Description: partial 16S ribosomal RNA
Rfam family: Bacterial small subunit ribosomal RNA
Source: RNAcentral
UCGCAGUCUGCAACUCGACUGCGUGAAGGUGGAGUCGCUAGUAAUCGCGGAUCAGCAACGCCGCGGUGAAUACGUUCCCGGGCCUUGUACACACCGCCCGUCACACCAUGGGAGUCGGUAACACCCGAAGCCUGUAGUCUAACCGCAAGGGGGACGCAGUCGAAGGUGGGAUUGAUGACUGGGGUGAAGUCGUAACAAGGUAUC